GAUUUGGAUUCCUUCUUCAAAUCUCUGAAAUCUUUCUAAAGAUUGAAGAUGGACUUUUGGAGGAGAUGAAGAGGUGGAAGAAAGAUGAAGAAGAAACUAUUUUCUCUCUUAUAUUUCUCUCUUCCCAAAACCUAAGGAGGAAACCCUAGAAAUCAGCUUUUGCCUAACCCAAAAAGAGAGGACUCUCCUCUCUUUUUCUCACAUCAAGAACCACACCCCA
Molecule: long non-coding RNA, 220 nt
Filed under: Elaeis guineensis (African oil palm)
Lineage: Eukaryota; Viridiplantae; Streptophyta; Magnoliopsida; Arecales; Arecaceae
Description: long non-coding RNA (EGUI_LNC036550)
Source: RNAcentral